This 433-nucleotide ribosomal RNA is filed under the name uncultured bacterium. RNAcentral's name for it is "partial 16S ribosomal RNA". It matches the Rfam family "Bacterial small subunit ribosomal RNA", at positions 29 to 507 of the family's 1533-position model. The record is from RNAcentral.
AACGAACGCUGGCGGCAGGCCUAACACAUGCAAGUCGAGCGCGCCCUUCGGGGUGAGCGGCGGACGGGUGAGUAACGCGUGGGAACGUGCCCUUCUCUGCGGAAUAGCCUCGGGAAACUGAGAGUAAUACCGCAUACGCCCUUUGGGGGAAAGAUUUAUCGGAGAAGGAUCGGCCCGCGUUGGUUUAGGUAGUUGGUGGGGUAAUGGCCCACCAAGCCGACGAUCCAUAGCUGGGUUGAGAGGAUCAUCAGCCACACUGGGACUGAGACACGGCCCAGACUCCUACGGGAGGCAGCAGUGGGGAAUCUUAGACAAUGGGGGCAACCCUGAUCUAGCCAUGCCGCGUGAGUGAUGAAGGCCUUAGGGUUGUAAAGCUCUUUAAGCUGGGAAGAUAAUGACGGUACCAGCAGAAGAAGCCCCGGCUAACUCCGUG